Long non-coding RNA from Ctenopharyngodon idella (grass carp), 837 nucleotides. RefSeq lists it as uncharacterized. NCBI's taxonomy places the organism in Eukaryota, Metazoa, Chordata, Actinopteri, Cypriniformes, Xenocyprididae. The transcript is spliced from 3 exons. The record is from RefSeq and is a predicted model, not a curated record.
GGUCAUUUUCAGACAUGAACAUGGUUAUUAGAGUGGUGGGCAAACAACCAGGGAAUAUGGUUCAUGCUUUUGUUUUGUUCUCUUUGUGUUUGUGGCAUCUGAUUGAUGUGACUGACGAAAUGAAGACAAUAUCAGUGAUGGAGGGAGAUUCUGUCACUCUAAACACUGAUGUUACUGAAGUACAGAAAUUUAUGUUGAUACAGUGGAUGUUCGGAAGCACUCGAAUAGCUGAAAUCAACAGACUCACGCAAAGCAACUCAAUGUAUGAUGAUAAGAAAUUCAAAGACAGACUGCAGCUGGAUCAGACCGGAUCUCUGACCAUCACAAACACCAGAACCACAGACUCUGGACUUUAUAAAGUAACAGUUAUCAGCAAAGAGACCAGCUACAUGAGUUUCAAUGUUAAAGUCUAUGAUCACAUCCACAGUUGUGGUUUUACUGAGGCUGUGAUCCGAUUGGUCGUCUCUGCUCUGGUGGGUGUGGCUACUGUUGCUGUGCUGGUUUAUGACAUCAGAUCUACAAGAAGUGAGCUGAACAGGAUGGAAGAUUCUAGACAUUACAAUCAGACCCAUGGAGAACAAUCAGAUCAACAGUUUGAAAUGAGCAGAAGGAUGAGUUCCAGAUUUGCCUAGAUAUAAAGCAAAACAUAUCAAUUUUCUAUAUUAAUAAUAUGCACAGAAUAUGAUUUUGAUCAAUCUAUAAAAUUAAAUACAUGACUUUAAACACAACUGCCCCAAACAAAACAAUAAUUAGCAACAAAUAAUGGCACAGAAUGAUCUUAUAAGCUCUCAAUUUUGUUGCAUUCUUGAAAUGACUCACAGAGGCGAAUGAUCUGCA